RNAcentral lists this ribosomal RNA (201 nucleotides) under uncultured bacterium. Its description in RNAcentral is "partial 16S ribosomal RNA". It matches the Rfam family "Bacterial small subunit ribosomal RNA", at positions 524 to 724 of the family's 1533-position model. The record is from RNAcentral.
UACGUAGGGUGCGAGCGUUAAUCGGAAUUACUGGCGUAAAGCGUGCGCAGGCGGUUUUGUAAGCCAGAUGUGAAAUCCCCGGGCUUAACCUGGGAAAUCGGCAUUUGGGACUGCAAGGCUGGAGUUUGGCAGAGGAGACUGGAAUCCUGGUGUAGCAGUGAAAUGCGUAGAUAUCAGGAGGAAUACCGGUGGCGAAGGCGG